RNAcentral lists this ribosomal RNA (127 nucleotides) under Mixta theicola. Its description in RNAcentral is "partial 16S ribosomal RNA". It matches the Rfam family "Bacterial small subunit ribosomal RNA", at positions 1410 to 1533 of the family's 1533-position model. The record is from RNAcentral. Lineage: Bacteria; Pseudomonadati; Pseudomonadota; Gammaproteobacteria; Enterobacterales; Erwiniaceae.
GUGGGUUGCAAAAGAAGUAGGUAGCUUAACCUUCGGGAGGGCGCUUACCACUUUGUGAUUCAUGACUGGGGUGAAGUCGUAACAAGGUAACCGUAGGGGAACCUGCGGUUGGAUCACCUCCUUACCU